UACAGAGGGUGCAAACGUUGCUCGGAAUUAUUGGGCGUAAAGCGCAUGUAGGCGGCAUAGUAAGUUCGCUGUGAAAGCCCUUGGCUCAACCAAGGAAGUGCAGCGAAAACUGCUAAGCUCGAGUUCUGAAGAGGGUCGCGGAAUGGCCAGUGUAGAGGUGAAAUUCGUAGAUAUUGGCUAGAACACCAGUGGCGAAGGCGGCGACCUGGGAAGAUACUGACGCUGAGAUGCGAAAGCGUGGGGAGCAAACAGGG
Molecule: ribosomal RNA, 254 nt
Filed under: uncultured bacterium
Lineage: Bacteria
Description: partial 16S ribosomal RNA
Rfam family: Bacterial small subunit ribosomal RNA
Source: RNAcentral